This 804-nucleotide ribosomal RNA is filed under the name uncultured bacterium. Its description in RNAcentral is "bacterial SSU rRNA". It matches the Rfam family "Bacterial small subunit ribosomal RNA", at positions 31 to 829 of the family's 1533-position model. The record is from RNAcentral.
GAACGCUAGCGGCAGCUUAACACAUGCAAGUCGAGGGCAGCGCGUUGUAGCAAUACGAUGGCGGCGACCGGCGGAUGGGUGCGUAACGCGUGAGCAACCUGGCCGUGGCAGGGGGAUAACCGGUGGAAACACCGCCUAAUACCCCGUAACAACCCAUCUCGCAUGGGAUGGGUUUGAAAGGAGGCAACUCUGGCCACGGAUGGGCUCGCGUCCAAUUAGGUAGACGGCGGGGCAACGGCCCACCGUGCCGACGAUUGGUAGGGGUUCUGAGAGGAAGGUCCCCCACAUUGGAACUGAGAACGGUCCAAACUCCUACGGGAGGCAGCAGUGAGGAAUAUUGGUCAAUGGGCGGAAGCCUGAACCAGCCAUGCCGCGUGCAGGUUAAGGUCCUAUGGAUUGUAAACUGCUUUUGUCGCAGGGCAAUAAGGUUCACGUGUGGACUGAUGAGAGUAUGCGACGAAUAAGCAUCGGCUAACUCCGUGCCAGCAGCCGCGGUAAUACGGAGGAUGCGAGCGUUAUCCGGAUUCAUUGGGUUUAAAGGGUGCGUAGGCGGCAGGCCAAGCCGGGGGUGAAAAGGUCGAGCUCAACUCGAUUCGUGCCUUCGGAACUGGUCAGCUAGAGUGCGCUUGCCGUGGGAGGAAUGAGUGGUGUAGCGGUGAAAUGCAUAGAUAUCACUCAGAACACCGAUUGCGAAGGCAUCUCACGAAGACGUUACUGACGCUGAGGCACGAAAGCGUGGGGAUCGAACAGGAUUAGAUACCCUGGUAGUCCACGCAGUAAACGAUGAUGGCUAACCGUCGGCGA